AACCGAGAGAACGACCUGCUCGACGCGUGGACUCGGCGUGGCAUCGCCAAGCUCGCCUUCAACCUCUCCCAGACGCGUCGCCCAUCUCCACUUCACACCCAGAGCCGACCAGACCAAGAGAGGAGAGCCCUCAGCCUCUCCGUCACCCUCAUCCUUGUCACCGACCGUGGAGAAGACGAAGGCUGCCGUCGUCGUCAAGCCGCGCACGCCGUCAUCUCUUUUUCGUUCCAUACUUCUCUCUCCAUGCCGAGCAAAUCCUCUUUUGACUCCACUUUGUUUCGUCCGCUGCAGCGACGGGAACGCCGCCGUGCCCACGGGUGUUGCAGUGCGUGCACCGAGCGCCGCCGCAACGACAUCGUCGCCGUUGCCGUCGAUUUAGGCCAAGCCGGAGCGAGCUACCACGCCACCAGCUUCGCGUAGUCCUCCUCUCCAUUUCCCCUCAAAAAUCCCAAAGAAUGGCGCAUCGAGGAAGGAGAUCGGCGUCAUCCUCCUCAACUCGGGUCACCGUUGCCAUUUGCCGAAUCCAUCUUCUCCGGUGAGUCCCAAUCCGAUUCCAUGCAUCAGUAGCAUCCCUGUGACCUCAAUAACCCCAUGAAAACACAUGCAUGUCAAUUUGAUGAGUGGAUCGAGUCGUUGCCGUCUUCCCGGAGCUCUGCACCGUCGCCGGACCAUCUUCUUCACCGCUGCUGUUGUCCAGACUUUCCCGCGCCUCGUUCAAGCUUCGUACCCACUCGUAGGUACUAUCGCACAACCAACUCCCGACUCUCGUCCAGAUCUACGCUCGCCGCCGCCGCGAGGGUUUCUGGCGCCUCUUCCUUCCCGACUCCCGUCCAGCCACCACUGCCGGCUCAUCCUCUCCUGUGGAGCCGCGUCCUAGGGCGGCGGCGGCGCGUCCUCGCCCAUGGACAACCGCCGACUCCCGUCACCCUCGCCUGCCCAAUGUCGUAGAACUGGUUUCACGGCUCCACGGCUCCAUGGCAGCAGGCUUGCAGACUAUUACAAGACUCUGUUCAAGUCAUCUAACUAUUGGGCUGCCCUCUAGCUUAUCUUGAUCUAUCUAUGCACUUCUGUCUGAACUUGAAGAACAAAUUCACUUGAACAUGUUUAACUUGGUAGAUUGGACUGGUUCUGAAUCCUGAUGGUUGUUCAUAUAUAUUGUCCUUUGGAAUCAACUUUUUAUAUGUUGAACUUUCCAAAUUAUCUACAAGCAGGAGCAGAGUAACUGCUGAAGUUUCAAGGGCAAUGCAAAUGGAUUGUAUAGGAAUGCUACAUCAUGAAGAUGGGAGGAGCUAAAGCUAUAGUAUUAGCUUAUGAACAGUUAUAAUUUCUUUUUGGAGAUGAUUCAAAUCUCAUUUUCUGUAUGUAUGUUUACCUGACAUGUUGAUCACAGUUGCUCUUAAUAUAAUUACCUUUCAUCGA
Molecule: non-coding RNA, 1419 nt
Organism: Oryza sativa Japonica Group (Japanese rice)
Lineage: Eukaryota; Viridiplantae; Streptophyta; Magnoliopsida; Poales; Poaceae
Source: RefSeq, a predicted model, not a curated record